AGCCCCUCACCCACAGGUGACUGUCAAGCCUUUGUUCCCUUUGCUGCCACUGAAGCCAGACUGGCGCAUCUGAGUAGGUUUCUGGGCUCUCUCCUACCUCUAUGAAGUAAUUCUAGGCUCACUGAGAAGUGACUCCUCCCACUACAGCUCACCCCCUAAUGCAUCAGGCCCACAACUGACCAGAAUAGACUUCCUUUCUCUUUUCUGUCUGCUCCCUAUGGAGCAGUUGAGAAGGUUCAUUUGCAUACAUCUUCAUUUAUUGUCCUUCCAAAGCCUUUGAUACCGAGCACGCUAAGAUGGGUAUCCUCAUUUUACAAAGAUCAAGGCAGAGAGAAGAGAAGGGACUCGCCUAGGAUCACACAAUUGACAUGUCAUCGCUGAGACCAGCAGUAAAUACACAGAUGGAUAAGACUCAAAAGAACCUACAAAUCCUGUACAAUGAAAUCACGUGGCAAGAAUGUGGUUAUUCUGAGAAACAGAAUAAAGCAGCAUUUUGCUGUGCCUUUUCACACAGCUGCCAAUCAAUGGUACAUGCUGGCAUACUUUCAGAAUAGCUGCUCUGUUUAACCCAAUGACCCAGAGGCAGCAAUUUGGAGCUUAGCAAGUCACAUCCCAUGACAUCCAGGAUGCCCUCUCCACCUACCUGCACCCAGUCAAUCACCAAGUCACAGGGAUUUCACCUCUGGAAUAAUUUCAAUCACCACCUGCAUUCCCAAUGGCUUCGUCCAGGCUCUUAUCUCUUAGCUGCACUAUAGCAGUAACCUCCUAACUGCCUCUGCACACUAUAGUCCUCCCUCCUCUGUGCUAUUAGAGUAAUAUUUUUCAAAUGCAAAUCUGAUCAUGACACUCUCUCUUUUUUUUUUUUUUUUUGAGACGGAGUCUCGCUCUGUCGCCCAGGCUGGAGUGCAGUGGUGCGAUCUCGGCUCACUGCAAGCUCUGCCUCCCAGGUUCAUGCCAUUCUCCUGCCUCAGCCUCCCAAGUAGCUGGGACCACAGGCGCCCACCACCACGCCCGGCUAAUUUUUUGUAUUUUUAGGAGAGACGGGGUUUCACCGUGUUGGCCGGGAUGGUCUCUGUCAGGCCUCUGAGCCCAAGCCAAGCCAUCGCAUCCCCUGUGACUUGCACGUAUACGCCCAGAUGGCCUGAAGUAACUGAAGAAUCACAAAAGAAGUGAAAAGGCCCUGCCCCGCCUUAACUGAUGACAUUCCACCAUUGUGAUUUGUUCCUGCCCCACCUUAACUGAGUGAUUAACCCUGUGAAUUUCCUACUCCUGGCUCAGAAGCUCCCCCACUGAGCACCUUGAGACCCCUGCCCCUGCCCACCAAAGAACAACCCCCUUUGACUGUAAUUUUCCAUUACCUUCCCAAAUCCUAUAAAACGGCCCCACCCCUAUCUCCCUUUGCUGACUCUCUUUUCGGACUCAGCCCGCCUGCACCCAAUGAAAUAAACAG
This 1450-nucleotide long non-coding RNA is filed under the name Homo sapiens (human). Its description in RNAcentral is "HSALNT0239637". Lineage: Eukaryota; Metazoa; Chordata; Mammalia; Primates; Hominidae. The record is from RNAcentral.